GAUGAACGCUGGCGGCGUGCCUAAUACAUGCAAGUCGAGCGAACAGAUAAGGAGCUUGCUCCUUUGACGUUAGCGGCGGACGGGUGAGUAACACGUGGGUAACCUAUCUAUAAGACUGGAAUAACUCCGGGAAACCGGAGCUAAUGCCGGAUAACAUGUUGAACCGCAUGGUUCUACAGUGAAAGGCGGCUUUGCUGUCACUUAUAGAUGGACCCGCGCCGUAUUAGCUAGUUGGUGAGGUAACGGCUCACCAAGGCAACGAUGCGUAGCCGACCUGAGAGGGUGAUCGGCCACACUGGAACUGAGACACGGUCCAGACUCCUACGGGAGGCAGCAGUAGGGAAUCUUCCGCAAUGGGCGAAAGCCUGACGGAGCAACGCCGCGUGAGUGAUGAAGGUCUUCGGAUCGUAAAACUCUGUUAUUAGGGAAGAACAAAUGCGUAAGUAACUGUGCGCGUCUUGACGGUACCUAAUCAGAAAGCCACGGCUAACUACGUG
RNAcentral lists this ribosomal RNA (497 nucleotides) under uncultured bacterium. RNAcentral describes it as "partial 16S ribosomal RNA". It matches the Rfam family "Bacterial small subunit ribosomal RNA", at positions 28 to 507 of the family's 1533-position model. The record is from RNAcentral.